CCUGGCCUAUUCCCAACCUUAAACAAAGAACGCGAAAGCCUGAAGCCCUAAACUUCAGUUCCUCGAUCUUCCUCCCCCCGCUCUCGCGUUCUCUCCUCUGUCCUACCGGUCUCUUCUCGCUCUCCCGGUCUCCAUUCGUCCGUCGUCCGUCAUCCUGAGCAGUGAGCUCUCUCCGAGCUUCGUGGGUCUGUGGGUCUAGCUCGUCUUCGACCUCCGACAGAGGCUCUCCCUCCCGCCCCACCCGAUUCAGAGAAGAAAAGGAGCAAUAAAAGAUGUCAUAUGAUGAUGUGGAGAUUGAGGACAUGGAGUGGAACGAGGAGCUCCAGGCUUAUACGUACCCUUGUCCAUGUGGUGACCUCUUCCAGAUCACAAAGGAAGACCUUAAGCUAGGCGAAGAGAUUGCACGAUGCCCUAGUUGCUCCCUGUAUAUCACUGUCAUAUAUAACAUUGAGGAUUUUCUUGACGAUCAAAAUUCUAAGAAUCAUCUCGAGCCGCCAAAGCAACAAGCCAUUACCAUCGCCUAAAUUGCAGGUUCUUAAUAAUUUUUACGACCCCUGCUAUCUUUUGAUUGAUUCGGUUUUUUCCAACUUUUUUCCUUUUCAGUAUCCAAGAGUUUAAUUAAUGUGCUUCUUUAGGGUCUUUGCAGCCCCCCAAAAUAUAUAUAUGUAUAUACAUUAUACAUGUCAUGUAUCUGAUUUCGAAUUCAGCUGGUUUGAUUGUCAAAACUUGGUGAUCCUCUUCUUUUAUUGACAUCCUGGGAUUGCUUUCUGGUUUUUUUUUUCUGGCUUGGCUAGUCAUGGAGGCAAUUAUACUAACGUGUAAUCUAGUUAACAGUACAAACUAGGUUUUGUUUAGGCCUGUAGAGUGUAGAUGUAGAGUGUGGAACAAAAAGGUGCAAUUGACUGCUUAAUAUGUUGCCUUUAAGGUCUGUCUGCUACCCCUUCCCCGCCAAAAAGAAUCCCAAAAAAAUCUCAAUCUCUCUCUUUUUUUUGGCCUGAAUCUCUCCCUUCUUAAUUAUUCAUUGGGCAUGAUAUAUGUGGAAAACAAGAGGGCAAAGAUGGUAGUAAGAGUUUAAGUUUUCAUUCACUGACUUUAAACGGAUUAUUGUGCUUGUUCUGUUAAUUGAAUUGUAUAAUAGCAUCAGUAAGCUUUUCCUGGUUUUUAUCCUUGAAAUCGCUAUGUACUUCCCGAAAAGAGAAAAAAAAAAAAAAGAGCACUCGUGUGUUAUAGAUGACAGUGAUGUACAGGGAUUUGUACUCUCUAAGAACCAGGACAGCACCAUUAGUCUUGAUUUUCCUGAAUCAUCGUGCAUGCGGAUGGUUUAAGAAAGAAACAUGAGAGGUUUCAAGGUGGUGAAAGCCGAAAGAUAGGUUGAUAUAUUGCAAUUACAAAACUUGGUACUGCAUGUUGAUUGGUAAAGAAUAGUAAAUGGUUACGCUUCUUCCGGGUAUAGGACUGAAUGCUUUGGCUUGCAGAUGUUCUGAAACGGAGGCAGCUAUAGAUUUUUUGGUGUGGCAUCAUUGAUCAUAGCAUACACAAACCAUUUCUUGCAGACAGGAAUUUUUUAUUUGAGACUUGAGAUGAAAAAGGAGAGAGAACUAUUAUAAUAUAAUGUAGUUUAACAAGAAUACUGUUUUUUUAUUAGAAUUAUUCAUUAUCCAUACUCUAGUAGUGAAAAGUGAGCCCUGUGGGGUAGCCUCAAGAAUUUUGUUGCAUUAUUCCUUUAGCCCGAGGUUAUUUAAACGACAAAUUGUGUACUAGCUGGAUCUUGCGCGUGCCACUCUGUUGAAGGAUUGUAAUGGAGGACGCCAAUGGAAAUGGCCAAGCCUUCUAUGCUUUAUGAACAAGUCCUUCCUUUUCCUGUG
This is an RNA transcript of Prosopis cineraria, 1865 nucleotides long. It is a transcript of the gene named diphthamide biosynthesis protein 3-like, with no coding region annotated. Lineage: Eukaryota; Viridiplantae; Streptophyta; Magnoliopsida; Fabales; Fabaceae. The record is from RefSeq and is a predicted model, not a curated record. The transcript is spliced from 3 exons.